This 123-nucleotide transfer RNA is filed under the name Nanobdellota archaeon. RNAcentral describes it as "tRNA-Pro". Lineage: Archaea; Nanobdellati; Nanobdellota. The record is from RNAcentral.
GGGGCUGUGGUGUAGUUGGUAUCAUUGGCCCUUGGGGUGGGUCCGACCGGGGUUCGAAGCUUGCGAGAAUGCUCGCAAGCUCGCAUUCAACUCGCUACCGCAUCGCAAGUCCUCGCAGCCCCA